This is a long non-coding RNA of Anoplophora glabripennis (Asian longhorned beetle), 1796 nucleotides long. RefSeq lists it as uncharacterized. Lineage: Eukaryota; Metazoa; Arthropoda; Insecta; Coleoptera; Cerambycidae. The transcript is spliced from 6 exons. The record is from RefSeq and is a predicted model, not a curated record.
CGGAAAUAUGUCGGUUUUGUUUUUUGUUUUGGUGUGAAUUUCAGGAUAUUUAUAAUACCACGUUCAUCAGCGAUUAGAUUAAAAUAGAAAAGAAGUGGAAUAUAGUACACUGUAUUGUAUCACGGCUAUCCAAGGGUGUGAAGUAGAAUUGGAAUGUAAGCAGUGCAAUGUCCAGCCUCGCUUCCAACCUUUGGUUCUUGACAAUUCAUUAGACAGUAAUUAGUUCCUGACAAAUUGUUUAUCAUCACAUAGCUGGAGUAGUUUUCCAGAAGUAGUACAGCAAUUAGUUUCUAUCGUCUGACUUAAAUUUCUUUUACUAUGAUGGCAAGAAUGCAAAUUAUAAGGUUGGCUCGAGUUGUAAUCUAGACAAAAAUUCUCUAAGACAGACAGUUAUUGAUACAUAUGCUAUAUGAACUUACAAGAGACACAAUUCAAGGCUGUUCUAAAAAAUAUUUACAGAGUAUUGCUGGAAAGAAUACCAUAAAGUUGGAAGACCUAACGAGAAGGCUAACAUAGUUAAUAUUUUGAUACUGUUUUCAAGUGCAAUAUUUAAGAGAAGCAAAAUAUGAAGAAUUAUUAGCAGGAAACUGAAAAAUUCAAGAAAGAACAUGUUCACUGAAUGAUAAAACCUCUGUGUUUCAAUAUCAUCAAUGUUGUCGAUUACCACAAUAUUUAAGAUACGGUAGCUGUUGUAGAGCAUAGUAUCGAUUUUAGUUAAACAGAGAAGAAAAACAUAUCAAUAAAUAAUUCUUUCCUGCCUGCCAGAAAUAAUCAAGAUUCUCUAUCGACUUGAUACUCGAAGUUCCAGACCAAAUGUCUGUAUACUUGGCAUUUGAAAAGAAAGACUUCCUUCUGAAUGAAAUAUAAUGGAUAUUAAGCAAAUGAAAUUUGUUGAAGUUCUUGAGAUGUGGACAUAUAAAUAGUAAUGGACUUUUUGGGGAGUUCUAUGACGAAAUAGGAUGAUGCAUAAAAAGAAAUGUCCUAUGAAGGCUUUGGAGAACAUUAAGAGAAAAUUAAUAAUGGUUAGGAAAUAAAAUGUUUCAAAACGGAAUACGAGAGUAGAAAAUAGUUGGCGAUAAUGUUUGAUAUCCGAGUUGUAUUGUAUCUUUAAAAAUAUGAUUGUCACUAUAAAAUUACAAUCUCUAUAUAUCUAUAAUUCAUGAGUAAAAUUAUAGAGAAUAAAAUUAUUUUCUGUGGCUGUAUUAUAUUUUCAUAUAUGUUUGUUUUUACGUUAAAAUUGUAUAUUUUAAAAUGUUAUAUAUUUAUAAGAAAAUAGCUGUACACACAAAAUUACAAGGGAGGCAUAUCUUAAUUUAAGGCUUGGUUUUUAAGGUGUUGACGAACAUCGACAAUGACAACUAGUGAUCGUUACCAGAAUAUAUUACAAUGAAUUUAAUUAAAGCGUUUUUUAAUGCCAAAUGUUAAAUAUCCAUCACCGGGCAAUCAUUGCUGGGGUUUAUCCACACCAUAAAUCUCAGUUUUUAUUAACUGCCUACAUUUGAAUUAUAACUCUGUAAGCACUUAGGGAGUGUGACUUUGUUUAAGAGGUGAAUUUGUGGGACAAGUGAAGUGAAAUCCCGGAAUAUCACACGAGUUGCAUAAAAUCAUAUAUCGUAAAGUAUGUAAUAUCAAAUGUGAUUUUUUUCUAAUUUUGACAAAAAAUUAAAGCUUAGCUUUAAUUCUCUUACUUCAUAAAUCUUAAUUCAGUGAGAUAAAAUCUAAAUUAGUUUUGAAAUUCAUUUUGAGAAAGAUGUCAGUAUAGAAAAAUGUAAUAAUUAAAAAUGUUUUCACACGAU